AUCCUAUCGAGACCCCAGUCAGUCGAUCUC
RNAcentral lists this ribosomal RNA (30 nucleotides) under Viola caspia. Its description in RNAcentral is "partial 28S ribosomal RNA". The record is from RNAcentral. Lineage: Eukaryota; Viridiplantae; Streptophyta; Magnoliopsida; Malpighiales; Violaceae.